RNAcentral lists this ribosomal RNA (394 nucleotides) under uncultured bacterium. RNAcentral describes it as "partial 16S ribosomal RNA". It matches the Rfam family "Bacterial small subunit ribosomal RNA", at positions 523 to 915 of the family's 1533-position model. The record is from RNAcentral.
AUACGUAGGGGGCGAGCGUUGUCCGGAAUGAUUGGGCGUAAAGGGCGCGUAGGCGGCCCGGUACGUCUGGAGUGAAAGUCCUGUUUUUAAGAUGGGAAUUGCUUUGGAUACUGUCGGGCUUGAGUGCAGGAGAGGUAAGUGGAAUUCCCAGUGUAGCGGUGAAAUGCGUAGAGAUUGGGAGGAACACCAGUGGCGAAGGCGACUUACUGGACUGUAACUGACGCUGAGGCGCGAAAGUGUGGGGAGCAAACAGGAUUAGAUACCCUGGUAGUCCACACUGUAAACGAUGAAUGCUAGGUGUAGGGGGUAUCGACCCCUUCUGUGCCGCAGUCAACACAAUAAGCAUUCCGCCUGGGGAGUACGGCAGCAAGGUUGAAACUCAAAGGAAUUGACG